Molecule: ribosomal RNA, 579 nt
Filed under: Ceratocystis fimbriata
Lineage: Eukaryota; Fungi; Ascomycota; Sordariomycetes; Microascales; Ceratocystidaceae
Description: LSU rRNA
Rfam family: Eukaryotic large subunit ribosomal RNA
Source: RNAcentral
CAAUAAGCGGAGGAAAAGAACCACAGGGAUUGCCCUAGUAACGGCGAGUGAAGCGGCAACAGCUCAAAUUUGAAAUCUGGCUACAUUCCGUAGUCCGAGUUGUAAUUUGUAGAGGAUGCUUUUGGUGAGGUGCCUUCCGAGUUCCCUGGAACGGGACGCCAUAGAGGGUGAGAGCCCCGUACGGUUGGACACCAAACCUCUGUAUAGCUCCUUCAACGAGUCGAGUAGUUUGGGAAUGCUGCUCUAAAUGGGAGGUAUAUCUCUUCUAAAGCUAAAUAUAGGCUAGAGACCGAUAGCGCACAAGUAGAGUGAUCGAAAGAUGAAAAGCACUUUGAAAAGAGAGUUAAACAGCACGUGAAAUUGUUGAAAGGGAAGCGCCUAUGACCAGACUUGUUUCUGGCAGUUUCGUUAGCCCUCGGGCUGAUUUACUCUGUCCAGUACAGGCCAGCAUCAGUUUGCUGUCGGGGAGAAAGGCUCUGGGAACGUAGCUCCCCCCUUCUGGGGGGAGUGUUAUAGCCCUCUGCAUAAUACCCUUCGGCAGACUGAGGACCGCGCUUCGGCAAGGAUGCUGGCGUAAGG